Mesocricetus auratus (golden hamster) is the source of this 309-nucleotide long non-coding RNA. RefSeq lists it as uncharacterized. The transcript is spliced from 3 exons. NCBI's taxonomy places the organism in Eukaryota, Metazoa, Chordata, Mammalia, Rodentia, Cricetidae. The record is from RefSeq and is a predicted model, not a curated record.
AAAUCUCAAUUUUUGGCUGGUUCAUCAUUAUUUUGUUUUGUUUUCAAAUUCGUGAGAGACUCAUCAGAAAUAAUUAGAGGUGGAGGGGAACAAUGUCAUCAUGGACAGGCCAUGGGGAAACUGUUAUUGCUAGCAACAGAGAGCAAUGAGACCACAGAGUCCAUGCCUCCAACCAUUGAUUGCCCUUCAGAAAAUUUUGGCUAAGAACAGAUCAAUGAAGACUGAUGAUGUAUGGAGUAGAAGAGACAUCCUCCAAAUUGUUAAACCAGAAAGCCAGAAUGACUGGACCACUACCCCUAUCUGAUACUG